UAACUAGUUUGUCCUGAUGAGUCAGGAGCUGAUUUGUCGUUGAAUGGGCAGUACAUGUGAGAUACGUGAAAACCUAUGAUUGUAUUUUUGGAGGGCUAUUAGAUAUAUGACUUAAUUGAUUAAACCUGCUUGAAUAUUUAAGGUACAUAAAAAUAAGAUCUGAUAGGAAACAUGUACUUCCUGUGUUUUUGUUGCUAGGUGUAUGGAGGCAAGUCUCCAACAGGUCUAUCAACACCAACCAAUCACCUCAUUGAAUGGCCUCUAAUGUUCACUUAAAGGUCUCCAUCUUGAAUUCUUUUUAGGCUAUCCUCUUGUUCAGCCACUUUAGGUCGAGGAUUGCUCGAAUCUCCCUCUUUGUUUUUAGCCAGGAAGAAUAAUAAGUACACCUUGUGGUUCCUGUCUCAUUGCGGCACUGGCUCCAUUGCCUGAAUAGCUAAGAGAUGGUUAGUGGCUGUGCUUGUCUAGCUCCCUGGACUAAUGAGUAUUGAUAAAUUUAUCUCUUGGCUGUCUGAAAAAUCCAGCGAGUAGUCAGAGGAAAUGGCAUCAAUCACUCACCUGUCAGAUGUGGAGAAGUCUGCCUUCUGGAGGCCCGGAGACCUGGCAUCAUGCAAACUGCUUUUCGGUUCCCUUCUGAAAUUUCAUGGGUGAGGAAUACCCCAAGUUGGACUGUGGCCAAGCAGAAGAGGGGGCUGUGGCUCGCUGUGUGUGGUUCCAGCAUGAUUUGUAGAUGCUUGAGGAAUGUUGCUCAUCGUAUUGUGAUCACCCUUCUUAAAGCGCAGGAGUGCCUUCUGUUUGUCAUGUGUCUCCACUAGCAGCUCCAGUAGCUCCUCAAAGAGCAUCCACCUGCUGUGAGUUAGCAGGCUGGCUCUGUGGCAUUGAUGUCCCAGUUGCAAAGCCAGAUGUUACAUCUCGCGAAGAUGGUUGCUGCCAUAGCCCUGGCAUUGGACUUCACUGCAUCCCACGCAGCGUCUGCUUGGAAAGUUGCAGCAAUGGAGAAUUUCUUCACUUUUUAAAAGCAGCAAGUCUUUGGUCUGACAUACGAUUUGUGUACUCAACCGAACAAAGUUGCAAACAACUAGCCCCAGUACAUCAAAAGGAUCAGAUAUGUCUAGAAAAAGAAGCUCUGAUGGUGGUAUAAGCACUUGUAUCCCUUGUAUUUCACUGGUAGAGUUAAACACUUUGCUAACUCUCUCCUAUAAAUGGGACUUAAAACUCUUAA
Podarcis raffonei (Aeolian wall lizard) is the source of this 1219-nucleotide long non-coding RNA. RefSeq lists it as uncharacterized. The transcript is spliced from 2 exons. The record is from RefSeq and is a predicted model, not a curated record. Lineage: Eukaryota; Metazoa; Chordata; Lepidosauria; Squamata; Lacertidae.